GUGUUAAAGCGUGUAAAGUUAUUGUAAUUUGUAUAUUAUCUUAAUUAUUUUAAUUUUACUUUUCUUUUCAUGUAUUGGAUGGUCAUAUAAUGAUGACAUUAAGGUUAGAUGGCCACAAAUUCCGACUUAUCUACUCUCCCCCCUAUAAGCAAAUUUCACCGCUAGUCCUAAAGCAAUCAGGACCAUAGAAAUGAGGAUCUGUCUGUGCAUUUUUUCUUCUAAUAUAUAUGGCCUCUGGCCGCAAUCAUGAUUUUAAAAGUUAGUAGUUUAUUUAUGUCAUUUGUAAAACUAUACGCUUUUAAAAUAUUCAAAGAAAAAUUAUGAUUGGGAUUAAACUUAAGAUUAAUUUGGUUCAUUUCAGUUUAUACUGGCUGUUUGAAAACUAAGUUUCAAUUGCAUGAAAACCCAAAUUUAUUCAACUAACAGGCGUAGAAGAAGGAAUGGAAAUGAAUGUCAUGCAAGAAGUAACAUUCAAAGGUCAAAGGUACAAGAUAUGGUGGUCCAAGCUAUAGCCAGCGCCAUGUUGUACAUUAGACCACCUUAGUCAAAAUGUUCUUACUUUAAGAGAAAGUUUUUUUUUUAUUGAAAUUUCAUAAUUUAUUCAUAAAAGGUAAUAAAAGUCAAAUGAUGCA
Molecule: non-coding RNA, 632 nt
Organism: Parasteatoda tepidariorum (common house spider)
Lineage: Eukaryota; Metazoa; Arthropoda; Arachnida; Araneae; Theridiidae
Source: RefSeq, a predicted model, not a curated record